Molecule: ribosomal RNA, 169 nt
Filed under: Variovorax sp.
Lineage: Bacteria; Pseudomonadati; Pseudomonadota; Betaproteobacteria; Burkholderiales; Comamonadaceae
Description: partial 16S ribosomal RNA
Rfam family: Bacterial small subunit ribosomal RNA
Source: RNAcentral
GAUUAGGUAGUUGGUGAGGUAAAGGCUCACCAAGCCUUCGAUCUGUAGCUGGUCUGAGAGGACGACCAGCCACACUGGGACUGAGACACGGCCCAGACUCCUACGGGAGGCAGCAGUGGGGAAUUUUGGACAAUGGGCGAAAGCCUGAUCCAGCCAUGCCGCGUGCAGG